GACAGAGGAUGCAAGCGUUAUCCGGAAUGAUUGGGCGUAAAGCGUCUGUAGGUGGCUUUUUAAGUCCGCCGUCAAAUCCCAGGGCUCAACCCUGGACAGGCGGUGGAAACUACCAAGCUGGAGUACGGUAGGGGCAGAGGGAAUUUCCGGUGGAGCGGUGAAAUGCGUAGAUAUCAGGAGGAACACCGAUGGCGAAGGCAGGUCUCUGGGCAUUAACUGACGCUGAGGAGCGAAAGCAUGGGGAGCGAACAGG
RNAcentral lists this ribosomal RNA (253 nucleotides) under uncultured bacterium. RNAcentral describes it as "partial 16S ribosomal RNA". It matches the Rfam family "Bacterial small subunit ribosomal RNA", at positions 524 to 776 of the family's 1533-position model. The record is from RNAcentral.